This 837-nucleotide ribosomal RNA is filed under the name human gut metagenome. Its description in RNAcentral is "bacterial SSU rRNA". It matches the Rfam family "Bacterial small subunit ribosomal RNA", at positions 8 to 843 of the family's 1533-position model. The record is from RNAcentral.
AGAGUUUGAUCCUGGCUCAGGAUGAACGCUAGCGACAGGCUUAACACAUGCAAGUCGAGGGGCAUCAUGAGGUAGCAAUACCUUGAUGGCGACCGGCGCACGGGUGAGUAACGCGUAUGCAACCUGCCUGAUACCGGGGUAUAGCCCAUGGAAACGUGGAUUAACACCCCAUAGUACUUUUAUCCUGCAUGGGAUGUGAGUUAAAUGUUCAAGGUAUCGGAUGGGCAUGCGUCCUAUUAGUUAGUUGGCGGGGUAACAGCCCACCAAGACGAUGAUAGGUAGGGGUUCUGAGAGGAAGGUCCCCCACAUUGGAACUGAGACACGGUCCAAACUCCUACGGGAGGCAGCAGUGAGGAAUAUUGGUCAAUGGACGAGAGUCUGAACCAGCCAAGUCGCGUGAGGGAAGACUGCCCUAUGGGUUGUAAACCUCUUUUAUAAGGGAAGAAUAAGUUCUACGUGUAGAAUGAUGCCUGUACCUUAUGAAUAAGCAUCGGCUAACUCCGUGCCAGCAGCCGCGGUAAUACGGAGGAUGCGAGCGUUAUCCGGAUUUAUUGGGUUUAAAGGGUGCGUAGGCGGUUUAUUAAGUUAGUGGUUAAAUAUUUGAGCUAAACUCAAUUGUGCCAUUAAUACUGGUAAACUGGAGUACAGACGAGGUAGGCGGAAUAAGUUAAGUAGCGGUGAAAUGCAUAGAUAUAACUUAGAACUCCGAUAGCGAAGGCAGCUUACCAGACUGUAACUGACGCUGAUGCACGAGAGCGUGGGUAGCGAACAGGAUUAGAUACCCUGGUAGUCCACGCCGUAAACGAUGCUCACUGGUUCUGUGCGAUAUAUUGUACG